AACGAACGCUGGCGGCAUGCCUAACACAUGCAAGUCGAACGAGACCUUCGGGUCUAGUUGCGCACGGGUGCGUAACGCGUGGGAACCUGCCCUUAGGUUCGGAAUAACUCCCCGAAAGGGGUGCUAAUACCGGAUAAUGUCUUCGGACCAAAGAUUUAUCGCCUUUGGAUGGGCCCGCGUUGGAUUAGCUAGUUGGUAGGGUAAAAGCCUACCAAGGCGACGAUCCAUAGCCGGUCUGAGAGGAUGAUCAGCCACACUGGGACUGAGACACGGCCCAGACUCCUACGGGAGGCAGCAGUGGGGAAUACUGGACAAUGGGCGAAAGCCUGAUCCAGCAAUGCCGCGUGAGUGAUGAAGGCCUUAGGGUUGUAAAGCUCUUUUACCCGGGAUGAUAAUGGCAGUACCGGGAGAAUAAGCUCCGGCUAACUCCGUG
This 433-nucleotide ribosomal RNA is filed under the name uncultured bacterium. RNAcentral's name for it is "partial 16S ribosomal RNA". It matches the Rfam family "Bacterial small subunit ribosomal RNA", at positions 29 to 507 of the family's 1533-position model. The record is from RNAcentral.